RNAcentral lists this ribosomal RNA (1369 nucleotides) under Planicapritermes planiceps. RNAcentral's name for it is "16S ribosomal RNA". The stretch from base 878 to 1249 matches the Rfam family "Bacterial large subunit ribosomal RNA", at positions 2073 to 2647 of the family's 2925-position model. The record is from RNAcentral. Lineage: Eukaryota; Metazoa; Arthropoda; Insecta; Blattodea; Termitidae.
GUUGAUUAGCUUGUUAUUUAUUUUUGUGGUGUUAAGAUUUAUUUAUUGAAGAAUCAUUUUGGUUAUUGUAUUUUUGUGAUUUAAUUUUUUUUACUAUAGGUUAUUUGUACUGUAAAGGGUCGAUUGGUUUUAAUGUUUUUUUGGAAGCUGAUUUUGUUUGUCGUACCUUGUGUAUCAGGGUUCAUUAAAUUUUAUUAUUUAUUUUUAUUUCCCGAUUCUGAGGGAGUUAAUGAUUUAUGUUAGUUGCUGUUUCAUUAGCAUUAAUAAUAGGUUGUUGGUAAUGAAAUGUUAUUCGUCUUUAGUGGUUUCUGGUUUUUCGAGAAAUGAAUUUAAUUCAUACGUCUUAUAUAAUUUCUGUAGUUGUUCUAUUUAUUUUUAUUUGAUGUUAAGAUUAAGGGGGAUUAGCUCUUUAUUUUAUAUUUAUAAUUGGUUUAGUUUUAGUUAAUUUUGUGGAUUUUAUAGUGAUUUUCAAUUUGAUUAUGUUAAAAUUUUAUUUGUUGUUUUAUUUCUUUUUUGUUAUUUAAUUUAUUUAUUGAAAUGUUUUCUUUAUCUUUUUUUGUGUAGUAAUUAUUGUGUAAUUAGUAAAUCUUGCUUUUGUUCUGUUAUUGAGAGUUUGGUGGAUAAUUUCUUUUUAGGAAUUCGGCAAAGAUAUCAUGUCCGCCUGUUUAACAAAAACAUCUUUUCUUGUUAGUUUUUGAAGUAUGGUCUGCCCACUGACUUGUUUAGUUGAAGGGCCGCGGUAUUUUGACCGUGCAAAGGUAGCAUAAUCAUUAGUUCUUUAAUUGUGAUCUGGUAUGAAUGGCUUGACGAGACAUGUACUGUCUUAGGAGUAUUGGUUUGUUGAAUUUGGUUUUUAAGUUAAAAUUCUUAAAUGUUUUUAUGGGACGAGAAGACCCUAUAGAGUUUGACAUUUAGUUCUUGUUGUUUAUUAUUUGUUUGUUUGUUUUUUGUAAUAAGAUUAAUGUUUUGUUGGGGUGAUGGGAGGAAUAUUUUCAACUCCUCUUUGUUUUUGUAUAUUUAUUUAUAUUUGUUUUGAUCCAUUUAUUUUGAUUAUAAGAUUAAAUUACCUUAGGGAUAACAGCGUUAUCUCCCUUGAGAGUUCUUAUUGGCAGGGAGGUUUGCGACCUCGAUGUUGGAUUAAGGUUAAAUUUUUGGUGCAGGAGCUGAAAUGAUUAGGUCUGUUCGACCUUUAAAAUCUUACAUGAUCUGAGUUCAGACCGGCGUGAGCCAGGUUGGUUUCUAUCUAUAAAUUGGUUUUUAUACCUUAGUACGAGAGGACCGGGUAUUUGGAAUAAUUUUGUUUUAUAUGAUUUUCAUUAAUAUGUUUACUAUUUUGGCAGAUAAGUGCAUUGGAUUUAGAAUCUAUUAA